RNAcentral lists this ribosomal RNA (468 nucleotides) under uncultured bacterium. RNAcentral describes it as "partial 16S ribosomal RNA". It matches the Rfam family "Bacterial small subunit ribosomal RNA", at positions 28 to 507 of the family's 1533-position model. The record is from RNAcentral.
GACGAACGCUGGCGGCGUGCUUAACACAUGCAAGUCGAACGGAAAGGCCCUGCUUUUGUGGGGUGCUCGAGUGGCGAACGGGUGAGUAACACGUGAGUAACCUGCCCUUGACUUUGGGAUAACUUCAGGAAACUGGGGCUAAUACCGGAUAGGAGCUCCUGCUGCAUGGUGGGGGUUGGAAAGUUUCGGCGGUUGGGGAUGGACUCGCGGCUUAUCAGCUUGUUGGUGGGGUAGUGGCUUACCAAGGCUUUGACGGGUAGCCGGCCUGAGAGGGUGACCGGCCGCAUUGGGAGUGAGAUGACGGCCGGAGGCCUACGGGAGGAAGCAGUGGGGGAGAGGGAGGACUGGGCGGAGGCAUGAUGCAGAAACGGCGAGUGGAGGAUGGCGGCCUUAGGAGUGUAAAACGCGACCGCCUGGGACGGAGGGGGAGGCACGGGAAGGAGUACAGAAGCUCAGGCGAACUACGUG